Non-coding RNA from Caretta caretta (loggerhead turtle), 1211 nucleotides. The record is from RefSeq and is a predicted model, not a curated record. Lineage: Eukaryota; Metazoa; Chordata; Testudines; Cheloniidae.
CAGUGAGGGUCCGGCGGUAUAGCCGGGGCCUUGGCGGGGCCCGCUCCUGGGGAGGCAGCCUGUCGCUGCGUGUUUCAUUCCUUUGGCCUCCGCUGCUCCCCGCGUUGGGCCUGUCUGGGGAAGAUCACAGGAGCAAUCUUGGACCCUUGCUGGCGAGGUUCUACGAGCCCUACCUACUGCGGAAAGUCAGACCCGGUUAUCAUCAUGGUCCCUUCUGGCCUUAAAAAUCUAUUCAUCAAAACCCCGCGGAUGAGGAUGAGGAAUAACCCAGCCUCUGCUGGGGGGCUGACCCAGGAAUUCUCCGGCAGCCUUUGCCUGAGGCGCUGACUGCCCAGCUGAGCUCUGGUCUACACCUGAAACUUAGAUCGACCUUGCUCAGGGGGUUUUAAAAUGUUACUCCUUGGGGUUUGUCUGCUCUACCGCGCGGGGUCAAGCUACGGUGCCACAGAAAAAUGCUCUGCUGUAUUUGUUUAUGUCUAUGGUCCUGCAUGUUGGAAAUGCAGUGAUUGUUAACACCAGUGAAUAUUUUAGUUGUGAGGCUAAUAACAGUUAUGUAAUCCAAGGAAUGCCUCUUCAAAUUAAGGGCACCAUAGCAAUAUACGCAUAUGAACUACUGAGCAAUUGCUACAUGGUCUGGGAAGACAAGUGCAGUGGAAGGACUAUGACUGCCUUCAUGGUAGAGAAAGGACCUACCAAUGCAGAAUAGACCAUGAGGAGAGAGGAGCUGGCUGCCAGACAAUACUCCAUAUAUCGUCUCCAGGCCAGGUUCAGGCCAGUUCUUACUUUGCCUAAACUGUUUCACCCAGUGUCCAAAUUCACCUUAUCUUAAUUUCUGGAUCUCCUUCCUCAUGUCCUAAAACCCAGACACAGGCAUACUGCACUCCAGCCUCUCUCUAUCCUGGCCUCAGAGGGGCUUGGUGCUAGUGCUCCUCCUUUCCCUAGCACCAGUUCCAAUAUUUUGAAAAUCACAAGGAAGGAGGAAUCCUAUAUAAGUCUUCAUAAUGCUCUUUUCUUCCUUGUAAAAUGCAGGUGAAUACAGUUCUAGCAGUAAUGUGUUUCGGUGUUUUGCUGCAAGUCGGCUGCCUGAAUUUAGUAAAAAAGAGUCUUAGUCUGGGAGCCCAUUAAGGUCGUGGUUAUUACAGAAGCAGCCAGGGAUCCCAGCCAAGGACCUUCUAUUAAUGAUUGGCCUGAAAUAGUUAAAUAAUAACCAA